CCCGCGGCGGGGGAAACCCGCGCGCUUUGUCAGCAGCGGCGCGGAGGGGCGAGGGCCGGGGGUGCGUGGACCCUCCCCGGCAAGGCCUGCAGGUCCCGGCUCGCCUGCAGCCCCCUCCCACGAUGUCUUAACCCGAACCGACCGCCCGGCCGAGGUGCUCCCCCUUGCAGGGAACCGGACGCCGCCAGCCCCUUCCUCCUUCCCAGCGGCCGCGCUGGGCUGUGCGCGCAGCGGGGGGCGCCUCACUGCCGCGUCGCCGCGGGGCCUCCAGCCGAUCCAAGGCGCGGGGCAUGAGGAGCCCCGGGGCGCCGCCCGGAGACGACCCGGCUGCUCGCACACCUCGCCAGCGCCUGACCGGGACAUGAGCAGCGCGCUCGGGGUUCGGCGCCCGGCGGCCAGCCCCAGCCGGCGGCGGCCAGCGGGUCGGCGCUGCCGGGGAGAAUGAGGCAGGAGCCCGCGGCAGCCUCCUCUUUCUUCUCUUCCUCGCCUGCUUCCGUCUCCGGCGCCCCGGGCCCCGGCCAGACUGUGGUCCUGCUGCGUGCCCUGCGCGCCCCCAGCCCGCCUCCGGAUGCGCUUCUCGGUUAGCCUGGGGAGGAAGAUAAAGACAUUUGCAACCAAGAUGGUAAUCACGGGUGGAAAUGAUGAUGAUAGAGGAAGCCAAGAAAAAGAGAGUAAGGAAGAGAGCGUGUUGGCCAUGCUGGGGAUCAUUGGGACCAUCCUGAACCUAGUUGUCAUCAUAUUUGUGUACAUAUACACCACGCUGUGAGUGGCCCAGGGCCGUCGAGGCCUCGGAGUGGCCAGCUGAUGGGCGUCCCUUGUGUCCUCCAGUCCGUGACCCAGCGCACACCGGCAGGCCCUUGACCCACGCACGACGCGGUGAGAUGCGCCUUCGAACUUCCUAAAAAGUCACCAAAUAAACCGAUCUUGCUGCAAGGAGCAGAUACUCAAGCACAAUGAAUCCAACAAAACUCACUCUCACAACCAGGAACUCAACGACGUGGGCAGGGGGCCCAGCAGAACGCCCAGAAGCCCAGCCUGGACCUCACCGCUAGCGGGCGGGUGCUGACACCCGCGGUCCCCACUGCCGGUGGAGAUCACGCCUCAGAGGGAGGAACAGGACGCAGGACACGCGCGACCCGUCCACUCAGCGAGCUGCUCAGUGCGAAGCCACGGGGCAGUCCUCAGACAGGCAUCCCACUCAUCAAAAGUGUCUAAACUCUUUGAUACCAGGGAGAUAACUUAUUUUUCUUUUUUCAUUGGCUUGACGUGUGUAUCUGUUCAUAUCGAGGUUUAUAAAUAUAUAUUUUUAAUAAAUGUGCUCUAUUUUUUAGCAUGAACCAAAUAUUUGGAGAGGCGCCCCCAGAUUCAGCGCUUUCCUUGUCUUAUCUGCUUCGCCCCUAGACUGCAGAUGUGUCAUGUAAUCAUCCCACACUUAACCCUCCCUGUCUCUCUCUCUGUCUCUCUCUGUCUGGAGGAUAUUUUUCCAAACUACCAGCUGUGGUCUUGGUUGGUGCAUGUUUUAGGAUUGUCCGUGGAGUGGCUUUUUGUCGUGCUAUCAGAGAUAUCCUGUGGUGCACUGCCUCCUUCCUGAGAAUUAUGCAUGAUCAAGGGCUGAGUGACAGACCAGCUUUAAAAACUCUCACCAGGACGCCUGUCGGGAAGAGCAGCCGUGUCUGCACGUCGUCUCUGGUGGAACGUUCAGCUUCCCUGAGCGGCUUCCUAUUCUUUCAAUCCUCUGGCCAUUUGUUGAUGAGAUUGUGACUUGGAUGGCCAGGCGCGCGAAGGAUGGGGAAGAACAAGGUGGGAAGCUCAACAGUAGGUGCAUAACUCCUUCCUUAGGGAGCCCCUGUCCAAGCAGGUACGCUCCUGGGCUUUUCGGGCUGGGAGGACCCCGGGACAGGUGACUGUGCAAGGGCACUGAAAGGUCACGAGCGAUCGCCUGCAGGAUCGCUGUGCUUCUUAACACUCCUGGUUUGUGCCCACAGGAAGCUGCUUGUCCCCGGCAGGGUGGGUGAAUACGAGUGUGCCCUGUUCUCUGAUCCCUGAGAUGAGCCUUCUCCUGGCAGCAGGGUCGUGGCCUUAAACAAGGGUCAGAAUUUGUCUGCUAGCACCAGCCUCCCAGAUGGCAAAGGCAGCAGCACCUGCCUGGAUCUGAACAGCACCCAGGAAGUCUCUGCUGCCGGACUCCUCACUCGCCAUGUUGUCGUGUCCGAAGUUCCACCGGUAGAGAGUCAUUUCUCAGGCCUCUUAAAGACCAGGCUCUUUUAUAAAUCACAUCCCCUGAGCAUCUGGCUCUGAUGUCGAUUCAUCAGGUGUUUUCUCUUCCCCACCAGAAGGCCGACAGCAUUCAGGGCACUCCGAGUGCCACACGCUCUGUAUUCCUUAUGUCGUCGGCCCUCCCAGGAGGCCUGGGCUGGGGGAGUCUCUCCCAACAUGGUAGAAGAAAGGGGGACUCCCCAAGACCAGCAAACAUCCCUAGGAUCACACGGCUACAGGCGGAGUCAGGACUUAACCCCCUGUUCUGUCUGAUGGCUGGGGUCAGCCUGCAGGUGCUGGAAGGUCCUGGAGGCCCCGCCUCCCCCAGGAUCUUGGGGAAGAGAGGAAAUGAGGGGAGGAGGGCAGGAAGGGCUGUCCAGGUCAGGACGCAAACCCGGGGGCUUUUCUGAGGACCGGCUCUGCAUCCCUCCCUCCGAAUCCCCCCUAAACACAAACAGGCCCUGAGCUCCUUGGACACCGGCCGAGUGUCAUACAACAGGCCGUGUGACAAGAGGGGGCUGGUGUGAAAUGCAAGGGGCGUGGGGGCAGGGAGUAGCCUCGCAGGCUCUGUGUGCUUCUAGAAGGACUGUGUGAAAAUUCUGGACAGUGAGCGGAGUGAACAAUAAA
Molecule: long non-coding RNA, 2883 nt
Organism: Condylura cristata (star-nosed mole)
Lineage: Eukaryota; Metazoa; Chordata; Mammalia; Eulipotyphla; Talpidae
Exons: 3
Source: RefSeq, a predicted model, not a curated record